Long non-coding RNA from Helianthus annuus (common sunflower), 258 nucleotides. RefSeq lists it as uncharacterized. The record is from RefSeq and is a predicted model, not a curated record. NCBI's taxonomy places the organism in Eukaryota, Viridiplantae, Streptophyta, Magnoliopsida, Asterales, Asteraceae. The transcript has 3 exons.
UGGAGAUCCAAGCUGUUUACCAUCAAAAUCAAGGUGUUAAGACUUUGGAUUCGUGUGAAUCCAAAGAGAGAAGGAGAAACCCUUGGUAUUGAAAUGGUGGUCAUGGAUGAGGAGAUUUUAUUGGAUAUGUAGAUGAGUGGUCUGAACCAGAGAUGACCAAAACGAAGAUGGGAAAAGAUAGCAAAUACAUGAACUUGCAAUUGCUAGAUGAAGAAGAUAUCAAGUUAAACUGCACUUUAUGGGAUGAGUACUGCGAUA